UGAACAUUAAAAUAUUUAGACACAGAUUAAACAUAUGGAAAUGAGUAGUUACUGCUGGUAGAUAGUUGCUUACUGAUGAUACAUAGUGUUCUAAGAAGUUUACAAAUGAUUAUUUACAAUGUUAUUAGCAAGGAAGUAGAUAGCCAGAGAUAUAUCAUAUAGACGCUAUGAAUUGAAGAAUAUUAGAUAGACCCAUUGCCGCGCGUUUCAUCAGUAUUGACAACAACUUUCUUGUCCAGGCAACUCUUCAUAGUAGUUGCGAUUGGUGACUCACAUUGCCCAGAGCAGAAAUUCCUUCAAUAUGUAGUCGACUGGUGGAGCUCCGCGAUGAUCGGCUCUCCACCAUCACUACAGAAAAGCUUCGCCUCCCUUGGCAUACUCAUUAUAUGGAGCAUUUCGAAGCACCGCAACUCCAUGGUAUUUGAUACUGCUCGCCCCUCCAUGGAUCUGGUGAUCCAGAGCAUUCUCGAUGAGGCACGUUCUUGGGCCUUGGCCGGGGCUAGGGGAUUUGUGGUGAUCACCCAAUUUGAGCCACCAUAGGCGUGCACCUGUUUGUGUUUGAGCUGAGCACCCCGGCUUCUUCUGCUCAUUGUAGAUCCAUCCUCGCCCUCCGGUGUACGAGCUAUGUAUCUACCACCUUGUAACUCUUGUUCUCCUACCUAUCAAUGAAAUGAUACACAACUUGUGUAUUCACGAGAAAAAAGGACAGAGGCCACCCAAGUGAGAACAAUGACCAACACGAGGAAAUCCAUUUAAGCAGUGCCAAAGGCGGAAAAUAGUAGAGAUGGAAAAACAAUUUUGCAAGCAUCAAAGCAGUCCAUGGCCUCUGCCACACCGAUCAAGAAGCAAGAAAAACACUACAUUGAACUAUAGUUUUUGUUAGACCUCAUGUCCAGAACAGUGUGACCGUUUAUUGCAGUUCAAAAUUCUCAUUGAUCAUAGAGUGAAAUGAGCAUCUAUGAAUAAAGAGCGUGCAGUAAGAAAUGUGUGCACUGUACUGCCAAAUUUCUUGACUGACUCUACCAACCUCACAUACUUUCUCCUGCUAGCGAUGUCCGUGUUCCUACAAAGGGAAGCAAAACAUUCAACUAUUACCACUCCACUUCCAGUAUAUAUAUGGUACCAACAGCUUGGCAUAGAAUCUAAUGUUUUCCUGUGAGUUCAUGUAUCGGCCAUUGGGAGAAUAUUACAGGGUGGAGGCAGAAGGAGAAUAAUUAAAUAGCAAGACCGUACAUGAAAAUAAGCUGCAACAUGCAACUCAUGAAGUAAAAAAGAGAUCUUACUUCUCAAAUGUGCUUCAUAGCCAUCCAAAUACACUCUUUUUGUAAACUUAUACAUUGUUUAUCCCAAACCGUUUGGAACUCAUACAACAGCAGCACUAUUUCUGCAGAAAUUAUCAAAGCCAACAGUUUUAGCAUGUCUGCGUCUCACACUCGAGAUUUAUAUAUUUAUAUUCAUUACUGCUAGCAAACAAAGAAACUAUCGUACCUAAUAAAGCAAGGAUCAGGAAUGGUCUAUUAAACCAACAAACUGAACAGAUCUUUUAAAACCACUCCUAGAGAGCACGAGCAGCAGAGGUCAAAUAUAUUUCGAGCCCAAAGCACUCAACCUUAGCAUGCUAGCAUCAGAAACUAAUGUAGAGAAGAACAGCUGCCAUUAAAUGUUCUGCAAAUCUAGUAGAUCAUCAAUUGGACAGAUAUAAUGAGAAGACAUUUGUGACAAAGAGAAAGAAAGCUUUCGACGAACAGCAC
This 1751-nucleotide long non-coding RNA is filed under the name Triticum aestivum (bread wheat). RNAcentral describes it as "long non-coding RNA (TAES_LNC009815)". The record is from RNAcentral. Lineage: Eukaryota; Viridiplantae; Streptophyta; Magnoliopsida; Poales; Poaceae.